RNAcentral lists this ribosomal RNA (451 nucleotides) under uncultured bacterium. Its description in RNAcentral is "bacterial SSU rRNA". It matches the Rfam family "Bacterial small subunit ribosomal RNA", at positions 32 to 463 of the family's 1533-position model. The record is from RNAcentral.
AUCAACGCUGGCGGCGUGCCUCAGACAUGCAAGUCGAACGCGAAAGUCCCCUUCGGGGGACAAGUAGAGUGGCGCACGGGUGAGUAACACGUAGGUAAUCUACCUUUGGAUGGGGAAUAACAAUCGGAAACGGUUGCUAAUACCGCAUAAUGCAGCGGCACCUAAUGGUGACAGUUGUUAAAGCGGGGGAUCGAAAGACCUCGCGUCUGAAGAGGAGCCUGCGGCGGAUUAGCUAGUUGGUAAGGUAAUGGCUUACCAAGGCUACGAUCCGUAACCGGCCUGAGAGGGCGGUCGGUCACACUGACACUGACAUACGGGUCAGACUCCUACGGGAGGCAGCAGUCGGGAAUUUUGGGCAAUGGGCGAAAGCCUGACCCAGCAACGCCGCGUGAAGGAUGAAAUCCCUCGGGAUGUAAACUUCGCAAGAAUGGGAAGAAUAAGUAGGGGACAA